UACGUAGGGUGCGAGCGUUAUCCGGAUUCACUGGGUUUAAAGGGUGCGUAGGCGGAUUGGUAAGUCCGUGGUGAAAUCCCCGAGCUUAACUUGGGAACUGCCGUGGAUACUAUCAGUCUUGAAUAUCGUGGAGGUAAGCGGAAUAUGUCAUGUAGCGGUGAAAUGCUUAGAUAUGACAUAGAACACCAAUUGCGUAGGCAGCUUACUACUCGAUCAUUGACGCUGAGGCACGAAAGCGUGGGGAGCAAACAGG
Molecule: ribosomal RNA, 253 nt
Filed under: uncultured bacterium
Lineage: Bacteria
Description: partial 16S ribosomal RNA
Rfam family: Bacterial small subunit ribosomal RNA
Source: RNAcentral